RNAcentral lists this unclassified non-coding RNA (356 nucleotides) under soil metagenome. RNAcentral describes it as "partial contains 5.8S ribosomal RNA, internal transcribed spacer 2, and large subunit ribosomal RNA". The stretch from base 1 to 120 matches the Rfam family "5.8S ribosomal RNA", at positions 35 to 154 of the family's 154-position model. The record is from RNAcentral.
GAUGAAGAACGCAGCGAAAUGCGAUAAGUAAUGUGAAUUGCAGAAUUCAGUGAAUCAUCGAAUCUUUGAACGCACAUUGCGCCCGCCAGUAUUCUGGCGGGCAUGCCUGUCCGAGCGUCAUUUCAACCCUCGAACCCCUCCGGGGGUCCGGCGUUGGGGAUCGGGAACCCCUAAGACGGGAUCCCGGCCCCGAAAUACAGUGGCGGUCUCGCCGCAGCCUCUCAUGCGCAGUAGUUUGCACAACUCGCACCGGGAGCGCGGCGCGUCCACGUCCGUAAAACACCCAACUUCUGAAAUGUUGACCUCGGAUCAGGUAGGAAUACCCGCUGAACUUAAGCAUAUCAAUAAGCGGAGGA